Vicugna pacos (alpaca) is the source of this 1419-nucleotide non-coding RNA. The record is from RefSeq and is a predicted model, not a curated record. Lineage: Eukaryota; Metazoa; Chordata; Mammalia; Artiodactyla; Camelidae.
CGGGGCGGCGGGCACCGGCUCUGGUGCCCUGGGCGGCAGAGCAGCCGGAGCCUGUGGAAGUCUCUGCCCCUUCAGCACCAUCUCCUGGAGCUUCUCGAUUUUAACUCUUCGCAUGUGGGCCAGCUUCCGCUUGCUCUGAUAGAUGUCAAUGAAGGAGUCCAGAGAAAGCUCUCCGUCCAGAAACUUCUCUGCCAUGUUCUGAAAGCAGCAGGAGACACCCAGUCACAAGCACGUCAGCGGCAGGGAAGGAAGCUCCCUUCACCACCCGGGCACCAGGACGGGCACGGCCAGCUUCCUCCCAACACCCGUCCCCGCCGCCGACCCCGGCUGACCUCAGCGGGGCCCCCACCCAGGCAGUGAGCGGGAAGAGGGGGGCUGGACCCGUCUGCCCUGCCCUCCAGAGCCACAGACUGGACUGGUGGCAGGGGGGCCGCACAGCAGCCCCAAGCUGCUGGGUCGUCCGUUGGAGAGGGAAUCAUUCAGCAGCUGGGUUCCUGACAUCUUCCCUCCACCGGCCGCGUCCCGACAGACUCGCCCCACGAGGGGUCAGCAGGACAGAAACUUGCCCAUUAGGACCCCACCCGCUGCCCAACAGUUAAUCAGAGCACAUGGGCCUAACUUGCUACAACUGCACAACUUUUGACCCACUCAUUUCCUUAUCGCUUACUCAGGUGCUCAGCUGGCCGUGCCCACGGGUCCUGCCCCACCAGCUGACUCAGACAGAUGGUAACUCAGGGACUGGCGCCCCUCACUUGAGGACCAGCCCACCCUGCUGCUCCCCCAGGACCUUGGCCUGGCAUCUUCCCGGCGCACUCCCGUGCAGCCUGCACGCCUGGGAGGCACCACUUCCUGGCCGUGGAGAACCAGAGGACCUAAGGAUGGACUGACUGCCCAAAGUGGCCUGGGCCGGGGAACUGUGCCCUGGGCACCCCGCCCGGCAGGCUGGCUUUACCUCCGUGUCUUCCUCGAUCUUGGCCCCUUCUGCCUGGAGAAGCGCUAACAGGGUCUCCAAGGAAGCGCUGCUGGAUUGUUUAUCUGGUAAGAGACAGGAUGGGACGUGAACGUCCAUUUCUGUUGGGGAUACACCAAGGAGCCACCAGGAGCCAAACUACUGAACCACAGGGUCUGCAUGCUUUUCACGGUAGCAGGUACUGCCACACAGCUUCUCCCGUUCUCAGUCCACCAGCGAUGGAAGAGCCCCACCCCCGCCAGCACUGGUGUUGCCAGUCUUUAUUCUGGUUGGACACGUUAUAUAGUAAAUUUUUACUGCAGUUAUAGAGAUGCAGGGAUUACAGUACCAGACACCACUGUAAAUCUCACUGAAGGGGAUGAUUUUUAACGUCUCUCUAUCUCAGAGUUUCCCUGAAGCUAUCCCAGAGCACUCAGGCCUCAACAAUAAACAAUUCCUGCAUCACUUCA